GAUGAACGCUGGCGGCGUGCCUAAUACAUGCAAGUCGAGCGAACAGACGAGGAGCUUGCUCCUCUGACGUUAGCGGCGGACGGGUGAGUAACACGUGGAUAACCUACCUAUAAGACUGGGAUAACUUCGGGAAACCGGAGCUAAUACCGGAUAAUAUAUUGAACCGCAUGGUUCAAUAGUGAAAGACGGUUUUGCUGUCACUUAUAGAUGGAUCCGCGCCGCAUUAGCUAGUUGGUAAGGUAACGGCUUACCAAGGCAACGAUGCGUAGCCGACCUGAGAGGGUGAUCGGCCACACUGGAGCUGAGACACGGUCCAGACUCCUACGGGAGGCAGCAGUAGGGUAUCUUUCGCAAUGGGCGAAAGCCUGACGGAGCAACGCCGCGUGAGUGAUGAAGGUCUUCGGAUCGUAAAACUCUGUUAUUAGGGAAGAACAAAUGUGUAAGUAACUAUGCACGUCUUGACGGUACCUAAUCAGAAAGCCACGGCUAACUACGUG
RNAcentral lists this ribosomal RNA (497 nucleotides) under uncultured bacterium. Its description in RNAcentral is "partial 16S ribosomal RNA". It matches the Rfam family "Bacterial small subunit ribosomal RNA", at positions 28 to 507 of the family's 1533-position model. The record is from RNAcentral.